AGAGUUUGAUCCUGGCUCAGGAUGAACGCUAGCGACAGGCUUAACACAUGCAAGUCGAGGGGCAUCGGGGCGAGGAGCAAUCCUUGCCGCCGGCGACCGGCGCACGGGUGAGUAACGCGUAUGCGACCUGCCCGUUGCAGGGGGAUAAUCGGGAGAAAUCCCGUCUAAUACCGCGUAACGCCGCGGGGCUGCAUGGCCCUGCGGCCAAAGGAAGCGAUUCCGGCAACGGAUGGGCAUGCGUGACAUUAGCUAGUUGGCGGGGCAACGGCCCACCAAGGCGACGAUGUCUAGGGGUUCUGAGAGGAAGGUCCCCCACACUGGUACUGAGACACGGACCAGACUCCUACGGGAGGCAGCAGUGAGGAAUAUUGGUCAAUGGGCGCGAGCCUGAACCAGCCAAGUCGCGUGAGGGAUGACGGCCCUACGGGUUGUAAACCUCUUUUGUCGGGGAGCAAAUUCCGCCACGCGUGGCGGAGUCGAGAGUACCCGAAGAAAAAGCAUCGGCUAACUCCGUGCCAGCAGCCGCGGUAAUACGGAGGAUGCGAGCGUUAUCCGGAUUUAUUGGGUUUAAAGGGUGCGUAGGCGGACUGUCAAGUCAGCGGUAAAAUACGGGGGCUCAACCUCCGCCCGCCGUUGAAACUGACGGUCUUGAGUGGGCGAGAAGUAUGCGGAAUGCGUGGUGUAGCGGUGAAAUGCAUAGAUAUCACGCAGAACUCCGAUUGCGAAGGCAGCGUACCGGCGCCCAACUGACGCUGAAGCACGAAAGCGUGGGUAUCGAACAGGAUUAGAUACCCUGGUAGUCCACGCAGUAAACGAUGAAUACUAGCUGUCCGGGGCGAAUGAGCCCUGGGUGGCACAGCGAAAGCGUUAAGUAUUCCACCUGGGGAGUACGCCGGCAACGGUGAAACUCAAAGGAAUUGACGGGGGCCCGCACAAGCGGAGGAACAUGUGGUUUAAUUCGAUGAUACGCGAGGAACCUUACCCGGGCUCAAACGGGGAGUGACUCAGGCAGAGACGCCUGUUUCCCACGGGACACUCCCCGAGGUGCUGCAUGGUUGUCGUCAGCUCGUGCCGUGAGGUGUCGGCUUAAGUGCCAUAACGAGCGCAACCCCCGCGUGCAGUUGCUAACAGAUAACGCUGAGGACUCUGCACGGACUGCCGGCGCAAGCCGCGAGGAAGGCGGGGAUGACGUCAAAUCAGCACGGCCCUUACGUCCGGGGCGACACACGUGUUACAAUGGCAGGUACAGCGGGAAGCGACCGAGCGAUCGGCAGCGGAACCCGAAAACCUGUCUCAGUUCGGAUCGGAGUCUGCAACCCGACUCCGUGAAGCUGGAUUCGCUAGUAAUCGCGCAUCAGCCAUGGCGCGGUGAAUACGUACCCGGGCCUUGCACUCACCGCCCGUCA
RNAcentral lists this ribosomal RNA (1406 nucleotides) under uncultured bacterium. Its description in RNAcentral is "16S ribosomal RNA". It matches the Rfam family "Bacterial small subunit ribosomal RNA". The record is from RNAcentral.